GACAGAGGGUGCGACCGUUGCUCGGAAUUACUGGGCGUAAAGCGCGUGUAGGCGGACGCGCAAGUCAGGUGUGAAAUCCCUGGGCUCAACCCAGGAACUGCAUCUGAAACUGCAUGUCUGGAGUGUCGGAGAGGGAAGCGGAAUUCCUGGUGUAGAGGUGAAAUUCGUAGGUAUCAGGAGGAACACCGGUGGCGAAGGCGGCUUCCUGGACGAUUACUGACGCUGAGACGCGAAAGCGUGGGGAGCAAACAGG
Molecule: ribosomal RNA, 253 nt
Filed under: uncultured bacterium
Lineage: Bacteria
Description: partial 16S ribosomal RNA
Rfam family: Bacterial small subunit ribosomal RNA
Source: RNAcentral